This 253-nucleotide ribosomal RNA is filed under the name uncultured bacterium. Its description in RNAcentral is "partial 16S ribosomal RNA". It matches the Rfam family "Bacterial small subunit ribosomal RNA", at positions 524 to 776 of the family's 1533-position model. The record is from RNAcentral.
UACGGAUGGUGCGAGCGUUGUUCGGAAUUACUGGGCGUAAAGGGCGCGUAGGCGGCGUGAUCAGUCAGAUGUGAAAGCCCACGGCUUAACCGUGGAAGUGCAUCUGAUACUGUCAUGCUUGAGUAUCGGAGAGGAAAGUGGAAUUCCCGGUGUAGAGGUGAAAUUCGUAGAGAUCGGGAGGAAUACCGGUGGCGAAGGCGACUUUCUGGACGAAUACUGACGCUGAGGCGCGAAAGCGUGGGGAGCAAACAGG